RNAcentral lists this ribosomal RNA (905 nucleotides) under uncultured bacterium. RNAcentral describes it as "bacterial SSU rRNA". It matches the Rfam family "Bacterial small subunit ribosomal RNA", at positions 33 to 942 of the family's 1533-position model. The record is from RNAcentral.
ACGCUGGCUGUGUGCCUAAUACAUGCAUGUCGAGCGGAAGUAGCAAUACUUUAGCGGCGAAUGGGUGAGUAACACGUGCUUAAUCUACCUCUUAGAUUGGAAUACCUAAUGGAAACAUUGGUUAAUGCCGGAUACGCAUGGAGUCGCAUGACUCCGUUGUGAAAGGGGCCUUUAAAGCUCCACUAAGAGAUGAGGGUGCGGAACAUUAGCUAGUUGGUGAGGUAACGGCCCACCAAGGCUAUGAUGUUUAGCCGGGUCGAGAGACUGAACGGCCACAUUGGGACUGAGAUACGGCCCAAACUCCUACGGGAGGCAGCAGUAGGGAAUAUUCCACAAUGAGCGAAAGCUUGAUGGAGCGACACAGCGUGCACGAUGAAGGUCUUAUGGAUUGUAAAGUGCUGUUGCAAGGGAAGAAAAAGUAGUUGAGGAAAUGCUUCUACAUUGACGGUACCUUGUUAGAAAGCGAUGGCUAACUAUGUGCCAGCAGCCGCGGUAAUACAUAGGUCGCAAGCGUUAUCCGGAAUUAUUGGGCGUAAAGCGUUCGUAGGCUGUUUAUUAAGUCUGGAGUCAAAUCCCAGGGCUCAACCCUGGCUCGCUUUGGAUACUGGUAAACUAGAGUUGGAUAGAGGUAAGCGGAAUUCCAUGUGAAGCGGUGAAAUGCGUAGAUAUAUGGAAGAACACCAAAGGCGAAGGCAGCUUACUGGGUUUAUACUGACGCUGAGGAACGAAAGCGUGGGGAGCAAACAGGAUUAGAUACCCUGGUAGUCCACGCCGUAAACGAUGAUCAUUAGUCGGCAGAGAACUGUUGACGCAGCUAACGCAUUAAAUGAUCCGCCUGAGUAGUAUGCUCGCAAGAGUAAAACUUAAAGGAAUUGACGGGGACCCGCACAAGCGGUGGAGCAUGU